GACGAACGCUGGCGGCGUGCCUAAUACAUGCAAGUUGAGCGCUGAAGGUUGGUCCUUGUACCGUCUGGAUGAGCAGCGAACGGGAGAGUAACGCGGGGGGAAUCUGCCUUUGAGGGGGGGACAACAUGUGGAAACGAAUGCUAAUACCGCAUAAAAACUUUAAACACAAGAUUUAAGUUUGAAAGAUGCAAGUACAUCACUCAAAGAUGACCCCGCGUUGUAUUAGCUAGUUGGUGAGGUAAGGGCUCACCAAGGCGACGAUACAUAGCCGACCUGAGAGGGUGAUCGGCCACACUGGGACUGAGACACGGCCCAAACUCCUACGGGAGGCAGCAGUAGGGAAUCUUCGGCAAUGGACGGAAGUCUGACCGAGCAACGCCGCGUGAGUGAAGAAGGUUUUCGGAUCGUAAAACUCUGUUGGUAGAGAAGAACGUUGGUGAGAGUGGAAAGCUCAUCCAGUGACGGUAACUUCCCAGAAAGGGACGGCUAACUACGUG
RNAcentral lists this ribosomal RNA (497 nucleotides) under uncultured bacterium. RNAcentral's name for it is "partial 16S ribosomal RNA". It matches the Rfam family "Bacterial small subunit ribosomal RNA", at positions 28 to 507 of the family's 1533-position model. The record is from RNAcentral.